GAAAUGCGAUAAGUAAUGUGAAUUGCAGAAUUCAGUGAAUCAUCGAAUCUUUGAACGCACAUUGCGCCCGCCAGUAUUCUGGCGGGCAUGCCUGUUCGAGCGUCAUUUCAACCAUCAAGCCCCCGGCUUGUGUUGGGGACCUGCGGCUGCCCGCAGGCCCUGAGAAACAGUGGCGGGCUCGCUGUCACACCGAGCGUAGUAGCAUACAUUCUCGCUCAGGGCGUGCUGCGGGUUCCGGCCGUUAAACGACCUUCAUAACCCAAGGUUGACCUCGGAUCAGGUAGGAAGACCCGCUGAACUUAAGC
Molecule: unclassified non-coding RNA, 305 nt
Filed under: plant metagenome
Description: partial contains 5.8S ribosomal RNA, internal transcribed spacer 2, and large subunit ribosomal RNA
Rfam family: 5.8S ribosomal RNA (bases 1-105)
Source: RNAcentral